This 292-nucleotide ribosomal RNA is filed under the name uncultured bacterium. RNAcentral's name for it is "partial 16S ribosomal RNA". It matches the Rfam family "Bacterial small subunit ribosomal RNA", at positions 505 to 796 of the family's 1533-position model. The record is from RNAcentral.
GUGCCAGCCGCCGCGGUAAGACGUAGGGCGCGAGCGUUGUCCGGAUUUAUUGGGCGUAAAGAGCUCGUAGGCGGCUCGUUGCGUCAACCGUGAAAACCCGGGGCUUAACUUCGGGCUUGCGGUUGAUACGGGCGGGCUGGAGUUCGGUAGGGGAGACUGGAAUUCCUGGUGUAGCGGUGAAAUGCGCAGAUAUCAGGAGGAACACCGGUGGCGAAGGCGGGUCUCUGGGCCGAUACUGACGCUGAGGAGCGAAAGCGUGGGGAGCGAACAGGAUUAGAAACCCGAGUAGUCC